This 1531-nucleotide long non-coding RNA is filed under the name Dermacentor andersoni. RNAcentral's name for it is "uncharacterized LOC126541833". Lineage: Eukaryota; Metazoa; Arthropoda; Arachnida; Ixodida; Ixodidae. The record is from RNAcentral.
CUGGCCACUCCUGGUUAAAUUCCUUGGCAGACUUUGCUUUGUAAUGAGUUCUUGAUAGCGCUUCAAAAUGCACGAGUUGGAUGUGGCUACUAUCUGUCGGUCAAGCUGGUGCAGAACAAAGCCAGUAUGCACCACGUAGCACAGCCAAACAGGAGCAUUUGAGCACAAGCGCGCACUCUAGCCCUGUCGUGCACAAAGCAAAUGCUGCAAUCGCAUGUAGCUGCUGUUUGCUACGUAGCGUAGAUUCCGCGGCAGCCGCGGGGUGCCGCGACGAGUCCACUGGUUGAGCACACUGCAGCUCAAUGAGGACAUCUGCGUUUUGCAUGUCGUUAGCACCAAAAUCUGAAAUAGUGCCGACUGUGCGAACAUCCAAAAUCAAAUUUGAAACUGCGCCCCAUGGUGAGGUCCAGUAGCGGAACGUUGUGGUCACACCCCGCUCCGCUGUAGCCUUCGCAAUGCAAAUAAUUGAAGAAGGAGUGGAAGCACCGCAAACGCUAUGUUUGAUUGCCAAUAACUCCGCUUUUGCUGAACACAUUGAAUAACUUUUGGCAGCAAAGUAUUUCUGAAAUAGUCUAAUUUAACUUCAAAUGCAUUUCUCGACUUCAAUAAAAAGUGGUUAAGGGCCACUUUAAGCCCUUGAAUCCGAUCGUCACAAGUAGCAUCAGGUCAUUUAACAACCAUGACCACCUGUUAUAUUUUUGAAGCACCAAAAAGACAGCUCCCUCAUUACAGUCCCUGUCCUGCUAUGCUCAUGCAAAUGUAUUGAACAAGCUCAGCGUGCAUCCGAUGACUGCAUGAUUUCUGAGGUCUCUUCAUACAUCUGGAGCACUUGGCUGUUCAUUCAAGCUGUUAUAAAUAGCAAAAAACAGCAGCACAAAAUCAUUGAUGUUCAAGUCCAAAGCUUCACGUUUUGUCAAAACAACCACAAUCACUGUUAUGCAUGUUGUCACAAUCAUCAUACUAUCCAUUUGAAACGUUUACCAGAAACAGAAACAAAUGAGAAAUUUUAGUACUACAGUAUAAGAAAAAUGUGUGCAUCAAUAUGUUCAAGAUCUCUUUUAGUAGUGCCUCAGUGACACAAAAGCUUCAAUUGGAUAUAACUUCAUACACUUUUCUUAGGCACAGUAUAUUUCGUAUUAUGCAACAAAUUUGACCGAGUAAUGUUUCAUGCCACUAGAAUUGAAACAAAUUGAUGUCAGGCAGCAAAUGUGUUCACAAAAUGUGGUGGUAGAAAUGGUGUGGUCAUGGAGAAACAUGAAAGUAGCUCAUCCCACAAAGAAGACAUGCAAGUAUUUAAGUUUGAUUAAUAGCAUCAACUUCAUCUUGUGCUGCUGUUUUCAUAGGUCACAUCCAAGCUUGGCAAGUCAGCAGACAGUUUUGUCAGGGUAGGCAUGUCAGCUCACGACAGCUAUCCCCACGGCGCACUUUCAGUGCUGCAGUAUGCCUCAUAGGCGAUCAUGCAAGAAAUCUUGGAGUUGGGCUCGAUUGACAUAAGAAGCAACCAGCGGGUCUGCAGUCAACUUGCCAGCAA